This 574-nucleotide long non-coding RNA is filed under the name Physcomitrium patens. RNAcentral's name for it is "long non-coding RNA (PPAT_LNC008391)". Lineage: Eukaryota; Viridiplantae; Streptophyta; Bryopsida; Funariales; Funariaceae. The record is from RNAcentral.
AUUAGGAUUUGAUUAGGGUUUGAUUUUAGGUUUGGUUUAGGGUUUAGGAUUUGGAUUAGAGUUUAGGGUUGGAUUAGGGUUUGGAUUAGGAUUUGGAUUAGGGUUUAGGAUUUGGUUAGGGUUUGAUUUAGGAUAUGGAUUAGAGUUUGGACUAGAGUUUGGUUAGGGUUUGAUUUAAGGUUUGGUUUAGGAUUUAGGAUUUGGAUUAGAGUUUAGGAUAGGAUUUAGGGUUGGAUUAGGGUUUGGUUUAGGGUUUGAAAUAGGAUUUAAUUUAAGAUUUGUUUAGGAUUUGACUUAGGGUUUAGGAAUUAUUAGGGUUUAAGAUUUAAUUAGGUUUGGUCUAAAGUUGAGUGAAAUUCAAUAGGGUUUUAACUAGAAUUAAAUUAAGGUUGAAUUGACAUAUAUUUGAGUAAAAUUUGUGAUCAUUAUAAUAUUUCUUUAAGAAUUUUAUUGUUUUUUUGAAAUUUCUUUGAGUUUUUUUGAAUUUGAUUACGUUUGUUUACCAUUAUUAUAAUCUAAUUAGAGGAUUGUUAGUAUUCUAUUUAGGAUUUUGUUAUCGCAAUUUCUAUUCUUU